GAUGAACGCUGGCGGCGUGCCUAAUACAUGCAAGUCGAGCGAACCACUUCGGUGGUGAGCGGCGAACGGGUGAGUAACACGUAGGUGAUCUGCCCAUCAGACGGGGACAACGAUUGGAAACGAUCGCUAAUACCGGAUAGGACGAAAGUUUAAAGGUGCUUCUGGCACCGCUGAUGGAUGAGCCUGCGGCGCAUUAGCUAGUUGGUAGGGUAAAGGCCUACCAAGGCAACGAUGCGUAGCCGACCUGAGAGGGUGAACGGCCACACUGGGACUGAGACACGGCCCAGACUCCUACGGGAGGCAGCAGUAGGGAAUCUUCGGCAAUGGGCGAAAGCCUGACCGAGCAACGCCGCGUGAAUGAUGAAGGCCUUCGGGUUGUGAAAUUCUGUUAUAAGGGAAGAACGACUUUAGUAGGAAAUGGCUAGAGUGUGACGGUACCUUAUGAGAAAGCCACGGCUAACUACGUGCCAGCCGCCACAGUAA
This 483-nucleotide ribosomal RNA is filed under the name uncultured bacterium. RNAcentral's name for it is "partial 16S ribosomal RNA". It matches the Rfam family "Bacterial small subunit ribosomal RNA", at positions 28 to 523 of the family's 1533-position model. The record is from RNAcentral.